CCUACGGGAGGCAGCAGUCGAGAAUCAUUCACAAUGGGGGAAACCCUGAUGGUGCGACGCCGCGUGGGGGAAUGAAGGUCUUCGGAUUUUAAACCCCUGUCAUGUGGGAGCAAAUUAAAAAGAUAGUAUCACCAGAGGAAGAGACGACUAACUCUGUGCCAGCAGCCGCGGUAAUACAGAGGUCUCACGCGUUGUUCGGAAUCACUGGGCGUAAGGCGUGCGUAGGCUGUUUCGUAAGUCGUGUGUGAAAGGCGCGGGCUCAACCGGCGGACGGCACAGGAAACUGCGAGACUAGAGUAAAGGAGAGGGAACCGGAAUUCUCGGUGUAGCGGUGAAAUGCGUAGAUAUCGGGAGGAACACUCGUGGCGAAGGCGGGUUCCUGGACAUUAACUGACGCUGAGGCACGAAGGCCAGGGGAGCGAAAGGGAUUAGAUACCCUAGUAGUC
Molecule: ribosomal RNA, 446 nt
Filed under: uncultured bacterium
Lineage: Bacteria
Description: partial 16S ribosomal RNA
Rfam family: Bacterial small subunit ribosomal RNA
Source: RNAcentral